ACCCUCUCAGGGUUGCACCUGGAGAGUUUCCAGUACUCUACCAGUCUUGAUUACAGGAGGGCAAAUCAAGCAGAGGCCUACUCCUUCCAUGCCUACCUUGGCCAGUGGCUAGUGAAUGGAAGGCAAUCUGCUACAAGU
Molecule: small nucleolar RNA, 138 nt
Organism: Tachyglossus aculeatus (Australian echidna)
Lineage: Eukaryota; Metazoa; Chordata; Mammalia; Monotremata; Tachyglossidae
Source: RefSeq, a predicted model, not a curated record